GUUUAAUUUAUCAAAUGUAAAAAAUAAAUAAAUAAAUAAUUUAACAAACCGACAACUUCUCUCCCGGCUUGAAAAUAAAAGACAAACACAAAUAAAAUUCAACCUUUUUCCUACUACAUCUAGACUUAUACAUAUACACAUAUGUAUGUAUGUAUGGAACACGGCUCCUUUAUUUACGAGCAUUUUUAUUCAUUCGUUCUUUCUUUCUUUCUUUUACAGGGAAAUAAGUCGAGUGUAGAUGACAAUGUUUGAACAUAGUUCCCCUGAUCUAGGUACAUGCAUUUUGAUCUUCAAUUUGAGCUAUCUCAUUGCGUAACUUCCGAGAUGCAAAAAUAUAAAUUUCGUUUACAGUCACACAUAUGGGAUGAUCUCUGUUGAUUCGGCAACAGUGGUUAGAGAUCUAACAGCUUAACAGUUGUGGUAUCUGUUGUCUUCGGUUUAAACCACAGCCACCACGUUCACCCCGAAUGACCUCUCCAAUAACCGUGACAAGACAAAGUGCAAAAACCUGAACGGGGGAGCUACUGGUCUCUUUUUUUCAACCCAGGUCAAAUUAUUUCAAGAAAAGACCAAUUAUACAUUUGACAAUGCCAGUCGGUAGAGUAGAAAUACAGUAAACACCUCUUUUCCUCCGCACUGCAAUCGAACAUUAUAGGGGAAGUUUAUCAAUGUAAAAUGCAACUGGAGGAGAGCAAUUUAUAUUCUGUUAAACCACAACCCCAUUAUAUUCUGUUGAAUUAGCAACUACUUAGCCUAUUUCUGGAAAUUAACCUUCUAUGACCGUUUAAUCAGAUGUGAAAGCUUCAAACGUUGCGUCAUUAGUUAUUUAAUUGUGCUCCCUUUAUGUUAUUUUAGGAAUGAAAUUUAACUUAAAUGCUGGAAACUACCAGGUUCACUCAAACACUCAUUCUUUGUAAUACAGAACAAUUGUCUCCAAAGUAAUACGGUGAGGCAGAUAAUCAUCAGAUUAAUAUAACCAAACCCAAAUUAGAUGCCUACCACAUCUGAAAUUCGCUUUUUUCUUAACUGUCAUAAUUAGUCUAACCCAAAGUCAAUUAUACUUUUUUUAUCGAAGAGAUAUAUACACAUUUUUUUCUCCAAAGAAUCCUUUGAAUUAAAUAAAACACUUUUAGUUUUCAUUGAAUUUUUAAGAAAGUAUUCUAAAAUUAUUUCUAUUUUAGCUAAGGUUAGGUUGAUAGGAUGAUGUAUACUAAAUCAAACCAAAAGUGAGAAAUGCUUUGUCCUUAAUAUCACUUCCAAGAUACUUUGAUCUAACUUCGGCGAAUACCUCACAGUCGCAGAGUUUCACUGUCCUGCUCUACAUUCGUCUGAUUUCGCACAUCCAAUUUUGUAUAGCUGUUCCAGUAAACCUUUGUGUUCACCGAGAAUACGUACAUAUGUACCAUUAUACUAACAUAAGAC
Long non-coding RNA from Lucilia cuprina (Australian sheep blowfly), 1422 nucleotides. RefSeq lists it as uncharacterized. The transcript is spliced from 5 exons. The record is from RefSeq and is a predicted model, not a curated record. NCBI's taxonomy places the organism in Eukaryota, Metazoa, Arthropoda, Insecta, Diptera, Calliphoridae.